Long non-coding RNA from Cryptomeria japonica (Japanese cedar), 967 nucleotides. RefSeq lists it as uncharacterized. NCBI's taxonomy places the organism in Eukaryota, Viridiplantae, Streptophyta, Pinopsida, Cupressales, Cupressaceae. The record is from RefSeq and is a predicted model, not a curated record. The transcript has 7 exons.
UGUUUUCAUGUAACUCAAUUAGUUUGUCAAAUGAAAUCAAAAAUAUUUAAUUCUAAAGUUUUCUAAAGUUUUAAGUAUGAUUCUUUUGAUUUUUUUUAUUUUUCAAAUUAUUUUAAUUUUUUCCUAAAAACAUUAUUGGCUGAUAGAAUUUUCCUGGGGGCUUAAAUAAAUUUUCAAUAACAAAAAAUAUAGAAAUUAGUUGGCACUGUGUACAAUUUCAUUAAUGCUAUUUACUUAUUUCUUAAAUGCGCUGUACAUUUCAUUAAUUUUUUAGAUUAAAAACAAAGUAAAUUUCAUUAAAGGCUAUUGAAUGCAGAAUUUAGUUGACGAAAAUACUCUGGCUGCCUUCGCAUCGAAUAGUUACUGAGGUUCAUUGCUUCUACAAUUUUGUUGCAUUCUCAUUUGGCAGGGGUGAAAGAUUUAAGGAAGCAGAACAUUUUAUUUGCGAAAAGUUUCCUAAGAAGACUGCAUAAAUCCAGGGUAUCCUUUGCACAACACAGUCUUACCAAUUUCACAUGCUUACUGCUCAAGGAGUGAGUGGAAGAUUUAGAAAGGCAGAAAAUCGUUUGCAGAAAGUUCCCAGAACAACACAAGCAGUUCCCAAAACAACACAAGCAGAUGGUAGAAAUCCAGGCUAUCUUUUCCACGAGACAGUGUUCUAGCCUUGUUAUGCUUACUGCACAAGAUUAAGCAAAACAAAAUAGUGUUUUACCUAUUUUGCACAUCUGGAACUUGUAUCAAGGUCAACAAAAAGCCAUUAUCAAAAGCAACAAUUAUCUAAACUCCAAUUCUGCAACUUUUGCAAACGAUAGCUUUUGCACAAGUUAAAAUGGAAGACACAGCAUCUGACCACAACUUGUCAUCAAAAAAACGCAAACAAAAUGAAAAUACCUCACAAAUAGCCUGUGACCAAAGCAACCCCCCCGACAAUGCGACCAACUCAAACAACAACCAAGAACAUAAAAGG